CAGCCGCCGCGGGAAUACAGAGGGUGCAAGCGUUAAUCGGAAUUACUGGGCGUAAAGCGCGCGUAGGUGGUUCGUUAAGUUGGAUGUGAAAUCCCCGGGCUCAACCUGGGAACUGCAUCCAAAACUGGCGAGCUAGAGUAGGGCAGAGGGUGGUGGAAUUUCCUGUGUAGCGGUGAAAUGCGUAGAUAUAGGAAGGAACACCAGUGGCGAAGGCGACCACCUGGGCUCAUACUGACACUGAGGUGCGAAAGCGUGGGGAGCAAACAGGAUUAGAUACCCCGGUAGUCCCUGUCUCUUAUAC
RNAcentral lists this ribosomal RNA (301 nucleotides) under uncultured bacterium. RNAcentral describes it as "partial 16S ribosomal RNA". It matches the Rfam family "Bacterial small subunit ribosomal RNA", at positions 509 to 807 of the family's 1533-position model. The record is from RNAcentral.